Molecule: ribosomal RNA, 483 nt
Filed under: uncultured bacterium
Lineage: Bacteria
Description: bacterial SSU rRNA
Rfam family: Bacterial small subunit ribosomal RNA
Source: RNAcentral
GAUGAACGCUAGCGGCAGGCUUAAUACAUGCAAGUCGAGGGGCAUCAAGGUACACGAAAGUGUAUUGUUGGCGACCGGCGGACGGGUGAGUAAUAGGUAGGUAACCUACCUCAUACUGAGGCAUAGCUGGGAGAAAUUCCAGGUAAUUCCUCAUGAGGUUAUAUGACACAUGUGAUAUAAUCAAAGGUAUCGCAAGGUACUGGUAUGAGAUGGGCUUACUGACCAUUAGCUAGUUGGUGAGAUAAGAGCUCACCAAGGCGAAGAUGGUUAGGGGUUUUGAGAGAGAGAUCCCCCACAUUGGAACUGAGAUACGGUCUAGACUCCUACGGGAGGCAGCAGUAGGGAAUAUUGGGCAAUGGGCGGAAGCCUGACCCAGCCAUGCCGCGUGAAGGAAGACGGCCUUAUGGGUUGUAAACUUCUUUACUAUGCGACUAACUAGAUUUACGAGAUAAUUCUAUAGAAUGUAGCAUAGCAAAAAGCACC